Long non-coding RNA from Populus euphratica (Euphrates poplar), 2127 nucleotides. RefSeq lists it as uncharacterized. Lineage: Eukaryota; Viridiplantae; Streptophyta; Magnoliopsida; Malpighiales; Salicaceae. The transcript has 2 exons. The record is from RefSeq and is a predicted model, not a curated record.
ACCUCCAAAAUUCUGUAAAGAAGCCCUUUGAUGGAAACAAACCUGGAAAUCAUAUGGGUAUGGAACAUAGAGUCCAAUAACAUGAGCCCGUGAGCCCAGAAACAGUGUAUAUACCCAAAAACGGUGUAUAUGCCCAAAAAAACCCUGUAGCAAUAUCCGGUAGCAUAAGAAAUUCUCAUUAAAUCAAGACCCAAAAUAAUGUCGAGCUACGUGCCACCAGAAAUCAUAACCGGAAUUCUCUCCAAAUUAGGCAUCCAAACGCUCCUACGCUUGUAUAUUUGUGUCAAAACAAUGGCGUUCUUUGAUGGGCAGCAGUGCUUGCAUCAAGAUCCACAUGAACAAUUCGAUCAAAACCAACACAAACAACGCCCUUUCCGUCUGAGAUAAAAAUGGCCGCCUUUUCUCAGUUGAUUUUGACGCUCUUAGUCCUGGACACAACCCAGUCACCUUGGGAGAAAACCCCCGGAUGACAAUCCCAAACCAAAAUGUUCACUUGAUAGGUUCUUGUAAUGGUUUAUUUACAAACCGCCUACGCAAGUGGUGCCGUUUUUGUAUGUAAUCCAUGGGUAAAGGAAUAUAAAGAGAUAACAUUUUUUUUCCCAUGAAUUUUUAAUAAUCUUGGUUUGCUUGUCUCAGGUAAAGAUAGGGCUUUCGGAAGAGCAUAUGGGGUUGGUUACGAUUCCAUUUCUAACGACUAUAUCAUCUCCACCAGAUGCUAAUGUGGAAGAAUCUGAAAUGAUAAUAUAUAGCGCAAAGAAAUAUUUGUCCUGUUUUAUUAAGAUGCCUUAUUUUUUAGGACUGGUCAUUAAAUGGGUGUUUAUGUUAGGGGAGCAUUGCAUUGGAUUGCUAGUAGGUUUGAUGAUUUUAGAUGUUGUCCUACAAUGAUUGUUGGUUUUGAUCUUGGAGUUGAUGGGUUUAGAGAGUUGCCGCAGCCAGAUUAGGGGGGGGGUAUGUCUGGUUUGGAUAUAGGUGUGUUGGGUGGUUGCUUGUGCGUUUGUGCUCAUUUUGAAAAUGUGGGUGUUGAUGUUUGGGUUAUGAAAGAAUAUGGGGUUGGGGAAUCUUGGAAUAAGGUGUUUUCGAUUUCGAGUAGGGUUCUUUGUUAUGAUUAUCUGAGACCUUUUGGUUAUUCAAAGAAAGGUAAGGCUGUUUUGUUGGCAUUGGAUAUGAAAAGGCUUGUCUGGUACGAUACAGAGAAGAAAGGAGUUGUCGAUUUUGUGAUUGAAGGAUGGAAGGAGGGGAAGUUCGAAACAAUUUUAUGUUUGAAUAGCCCUUUUUCGACCGAAGCUGGAAAGGAAGACAGUGAAGAAGAGGUUGAAGGAAAGGAGGACAGUGAAGAAGAGGUUAUGUAUCAUUUCUUCAUUUGGAAAAUGUUUGCAGAUGAUGAGCACAUACUUGUUAUAAUAAGCAUUCAGUAUCUUUUGUAUGCAAUGCUUCCAAGAAUAGAAUUUGCUAUAAUUCCUUCUACAAUUUAUUGCAAUUAGGGCAAUCCAAUAGUAUUCUUAUCUGAGAAUUUGAGAUUUAACUUAAUCUUAAUGAUAAAUGAAUAGCCUGUUGUGCCAUAAUUGCUCAUUAUUUUAACCUUAUUCCUUUAAGGGAUGAUUUCCUCUCAACAGGCUUCAAGCUCAUAUUGUAGGAAACAAGGAUCAAACAUGCUAAAGAGGUGACUGGAAGAUAUUUGCUAAAACGUGUAAAAUUGAAGCUUACUUUUGCUACUUUUCUCAAGCAUGAGUUAAUUCUCAGGUGAAUAAUCUGAACUAUGCUGGAAUUUAUACAGGUCCAUAAUGCAUUGUGGACUUGCAGUGUUGAAAUCAAAUGCAUGAUUGGGGGAGAGACGAGGGUAAAGUACAUUUCCAGUUAGUGUUUUUGUUUUCCUGGCAAGAGGUACUGUGGGAUGCAAUCUGAAUACAAUAGUCGUGCCUUUCGUGGUAUGCAAUCUUUAUCAUGCUUGGAUAUGUUGAAUUAUUAGCUAUAGUCCUCUGAAAGUGUAUUAAAACUAUUACUACUAACUAGUUCAAACUUUUUCUUGUAGAAAGUCUUGAUCUUAUCUCACUAUACAGUGUGACAUCGUUUUCCUUGUAAGCAGAAACUUUCUUGCUAUUACAGUGUUGGAUUGGUUCCGUUUCACUU